GGUAGAUUGAGACGAGAUCCAGCUGUUGUGCGGUUCCAAUGAGGUUCUCACAAGGACGUAUUUACGCACUCAGAAAGUCGUUCGUGUACCGGUGGGAAAGAUUGAAAUUUUAACGAACCACAUAGGAAGUGCAACGAGAAACUGACAGAGAGAAGAGAUUGAGAAUUUAUAUAUAUAAAACGAGAGGCUGACCGGUGGCUGGUCAAACGCAUCUUGUGGUUUUGCGUUUUAACGAGAUGAUACGAGUUGGUGUGUGGAUGUGGGUAAUCGUUGGGGCGUAUCUCCUGCACUACGCCUACGGUCAUGUUGCCCUCAAGUUCCCACGUGCAAGAAAGUAUGAUCUUGAUUUUUUGGACAGCGCUAGAACACCAGGACCUUGUGGAAUGCCUAGAGG
Molecule: long non-coding RNA, 394 nt
Organism: Fopius arisanus
Lineage: Eukaryota; Metazoa; Arthropoda; Insecta; Hymenoptera; Braconidae
Exons: 2
Source: RefSeq, a predicted model, not a curated record